AACAAGUUUGAUUCUUGCUUAACAUUCUUAUUAUAUAAAAAUAUAAUACAUGAAAAUAUCUAUAUUCCUAUCAUAUUUUUGUUAAAAACAAAAUAAUAAAUCUCAGUAUAUAAUAUUAAACAAUUAACUAAAGUUAGAUUUAAUUUUUAUAUUUAUUCUGGUAAAAAUUUGUGCCAGCAACCGCGGUUAUACUUUAAGAAAAAAUAAGAAAUCAUUAAUCUAUAGUUGCUCGUAUAAUACCUUUUAUAAAAAUUUUAUCAAUAUAAAGAGUAAAAUCAAUUUAAAUUUAAUAACCUUUUUAUAAAUAGUAUUUAAAAAAAUCUAUAAAAAUUAAAAUAUAAACUAGGAUUAGAUACCCUACUAUAUUUAAUCUUAAACAUAAAAGAUUGAUUACUAAAAAUUAUAUUUUAUAAACUCAAAGAAUUUGGCGGUAUUUUAAUCUAAUUAGAGGAACUUGUUUUAUAAUCGAUAACCCCCGUUAAAUUUCUCUUAUUUUAAAUAGCCUGUAUACCGUCAUUAUUAAAUAAUUUUUAUUGAAAAAAUUAUUAUAAAUAAAUUUUCUUAAAUAUAUUAGAUCAAGGUGCAGCUAAUAAAUAAGUAAAAAUGAGUUACAAUAAUAAUUUAUUUAAACGAAUUAUAUUUUUAAAUAAAUGUAUAAAGGAGGAUUUAAUUGUAAAUAAAAAUAAAAAAUUGAUAUUAGCUAUAAAAUAUGUACAUAUCGCCCGUCGCUUUCACUAAAAAUGAGAUAAGUCGUAACAUAGUAGAUGUACCGGAAGGUGCAUCUAGAAUUUA
RNAcentral lists this non-coding RNA (792 nucleotides) under Gastroptychus rogeri. Lineage: Eukaryota; Metazoa; Arthropoda; Malacostraca; Decapoda; Chirostylidae. The record is from RNAcentral.